Molecule: ribosomal RNA, 313 nt
Filed under: uncultured bacterium
Lineage: Bacteria
Description: bacterial SSU rRNA
Rfam family: Bacterial small subunit ribosomal RNA
Source: RNAcentral
ACCGUAAGGCCUCGCGCGAUUAGAGCGGCCGAUAUCUGAUUAGGCUUGUUGGUGGGGUAAAAGCCCACCAAGGCGACGAUCAGUAGCUGGUCUGAGAGGACGAUCAGCCACACUGGGACUGAGACACGGCCCAGACUCCUACGGGAGGCAGCAGUGGGGAAUUUUGGACAAUGGGGGCAACCCUGAUCCAGCAAUGCCGCGUGAGUGAAGAAGGCCUUCGGGUUGUAAAGCUCUUUUGUCAGGGAAGAAACAGCAGCUCUAACACAGUCUGCGAAUGACGGUACCUGAAGAAUAAGCACCGGCUAACUACGUG